ACGAGUGGCGGACGGGUGAGUAAUGUCUGGGAAACUGCCCGAUGGAGGGGGAUAACAGUUGGAAACGGCUGCUAAUACCGCAUAAGCGCACAGUACCGCAUGGUACGGUGUGAAAAACUCCGGUGGUAUGAGAUGGACCCGCGUCUGAUUAGGUAGUUGGUGGGGUAACGGCCUACCAAGCCGACGAUCAGUAGCCGACCUGAGAGGGUGACCGGCCACAUUGGGACUGAGACACGGCCCAA
RNAcentral lists this ribosomal RNA (242 nucleotides) under uncultured bacterium. RNAcentral describes it as "partial 16S ribosomal RNA". It matches the Rfam family "Bacterial small subunit ribosomal RNA", at positions 91 to 334 of the family's 1533-position model. The record is from RNAcentral.